GAGAGCCGUAUACUUGGAAACAAGUACGUACGGUUCGGCGGCGAGUACAUUGAAACCUGCUUCCAUAAAGGGAAGCAAGGCGCAUUGUGCUUAGCCAU
This is a non-coding RNA of Prevotella sp. S7-1-8, 98 nucleotides long. NCBI's taxonomy places the organism in Bacteria, Pseudomonadati, Bacteroidota, Bacteroidia, Bacteroidales, Prevotellaceae. The record is from Rfam.